RNAcentral lists this ribosomal RNA (444 nucleotides) under uncultured bacterium. Its description in RNAcentral is "bacterial SSU rRNA". It matches the Rfam family "Bacterial small subunit ribosomal RNA", at positions 355 to 786 of the family's 1533-position model. The record is from RNAcentral.
UGAGGAAUAUUGGUCAAUGGGCGGAAGCCUGAACCAGCCAAGUCGCGUGAGGGAAGACGGUCCUAUGGAUUGUAAACCUCUUUUGUCGGGGAGCAAGGGUCCGCACGAGUGCGGAGGCGAGAGUACCCGAAGAAAAAGCAUCGGCUAACUCCGUGCCAGCAGCCGCGGUAAUACGGAGGAUGCGAGCGUUAUCCGGAUUUAUUGGGUUUAAAGGGUGCGCAGGCGGAGGAUCAAGUCAGCGGUAAAAAUAGCGGGGGCUCAAACCCCCGCUCGAGCCGUUCGUAAACAUGGUUUUCUAGAGUGAGCGAGAAGUAUGCGGAAUGCGUGGUGUAGCGGUGAAAUGCAUAGAUAUCACGCAGAACUCCGAUUGCGAAGGCAGCAUACCGGCGCUCAAACUGACGCUCAGGCACGAAAAGCGUGGGUAUCGAAACAGGAUUAGAUACC